UGGCUCAGAUUGAACGCUGGCGGCAGGCCUAACACAUGCAAAGUCGAGCGGUAGAGAGAAGCUUGCUUCUCUUGAGAGCGGCGGACGGGUGAGUAAUGCCUAGGAAUCUGCCUGGUAGUGGGGGAUAACGUUCGGAAACGGUCGCUAAUACCGCAUACGUCCUACGGGAGAAAGCAGGGGACCUUCGGGCCUUGCGCUAUCAGAUGAGCCUAGGUCGGAUUAGCUAGUUGGUGAGGUAAUGGCUCACCAAGGCGACGAUCCGUAACUGGUCUGAGAGGAUGAUCAGUCACACUGGAACUGAGACACGGUCCAGACUCCUACGGGAGGCAGCAGUGGGGAAUAUUGGNCAAUGGGCGAAAGCCUGAUCCAGCCAUGCCGCGUGUGUGAAGAAGGUCUUCGGAUUGUAAAGCACUUUAAGUUGGGAGGAAGGGUUGUAGAUUAAUACUCUGCAAUUUUGACGUUACCGACAGAAUAAGCACCGGCUAACUCUGUGCCAGCAGCCGCGGUAAUACAGAGGGUGCAAGCGUUAAUCGGAAUUACUGGGCGUAAAGCGCGCGUAGGUGGUUUGUUAAGUAGGAUGUGAAAUCCCCGGGCUCAACCUGGGAACUGCAUUCAAAACUGACUGACUAGAGUAUGGUAGAGGGUGGUGGAAUUUCCUGUGUAGCGGUGAAAUGCGUAGAUAUAGGAAGGA
RNAcentral lists this ribosomal RNA (691 nucleotides) under Pseudomonas cedrina subsp. fulgida. RNAcentral describes it as "bacterial SSU rRNA". It matches the Rfam family "Bacterial small subunit ribosomal RNA", at positions 20 to 705 of the family's 1533-position model. Lineage: Bacteria; Pseudomonadati; Pseudomonadota; Gammaproteobacteria; Pseudomonadales; Pseudomonadaceae. The record is from RNAcentral.